RNAcentral lists this non-coding RNA (148 nucleotides) under Pan troglodytes (chimpanzee). The record is from Rfam by way of RNAcentral. Lineage: Eukaryota; Metazoa; Chordata; Mammalia; Primates; Hominidae.
GCUGGGCAUAGUGGCGCAUGCCUGUAGUCCCAGCUGCUCAGGAGGCUGAGGCAGGAGAAUCGCUUGAACCCGGGAGGUGGAGGUUGCAGUGAGCCGAGAUCACGCCACUGCACUCCAGCCUGGGUGACAGAGCGAGACUCUGUCUCAA